Molecule: long non-coding RNA, 1675 nt
Organism: Lytechinus pictus (painted urchin)
Lineage: Eukaryota; Metazoa; Echinodermata; Echinoidea; Temnopleuroida; Toxopneustidae
Exons: 9
Source: RefSeq, a predicted model, not a curated record
GUCGCGCCAUUUUUAAAGAGCAAGUUUGGAAAAGUUUUGAAAAGGCAUGGCAAAAAGACGAAAUAAAGGAAGAAAAUCACGGUAGGUGCAGUGAAGCAAGACGUCUAAAGGAACAACUGAAAAGAUGGAUCUGUGCUUUGUCCAACUUCGCCACCAUGGCAUUUGUGAGGUGAAGAAUUGCAGUUCAGUAAAAUCAUCCUCGGAAGCAGUACAUAUUGCAAAGCCAAAGCUGUUAAGAUGACUAUCAAAAGUGAGUUCGGUGGCAUCUCCAUGGACAUGAUGGCAAGUUUGUGGCAAAAGAAGAGGAAGAAAGUAGAGAGCCGAAACUGACAUGGAAGAGUUUGAUUUUAUUCCAGUUCAGAAAAUGGCUGGUGAGUCAAAAGGCAUUUUGUUUCACUUCCACCAAAAUGCAUGAAUUCCAGUCCUUCCUACUCUAGGACCCAGUUGGACUACCUACAAAGCCACACCCCUCAGAGCCUCGUCCCUGUAUCCACUCGACUACAUCGCCUGCAGGUUCACAAACCCCUAGAUGCACCUAUCCCCACCUUGUGACAUACACCAAACCUCAACAUUGGACCGAAGUAGUCUCCUAUGUUUGCUACGGAUGAGAAGCCUUCUCUUGACAUGCCCAGAAUGAGCUUGGCUCCAAUUUCUAUCAAAUUGGGAUCAUCGUUACACACUUUACAAGUUAUGAAUGGAGAGGAGAAAGACGAGGGAUCCAGUACUACCUCUCCACCUACUGGUCCCAAGCCAUGCACUCAGGAUGUAUAGGACGUCAUUUUCAUACUGGCUACUAGAUUUUAAAUGGAUGUGAAGAGUAGGUUGCCAUGGCAAUAGGAAAUACUGCUCAUCAUUAUCAGAAGGAGAUGGAUAAAAACAGCUUUCAGCCUUGUGAUGUCGUCACAGACCUUCUUGCCAGUCACAUCAAGGAUGAGACAAGUGCAAGCUGUCUAGCCUGAACAAGAAGGAUACAGUGAGCAAGAUGCAAGCUCAGGUCGUCCAGUCCCCGGAGCGGAUGAAAGCUGACAUAUCAUGCAUGCAUUCCACCUUAGCCUUGCAUGAGGAGACUAAGAAGGAGAAGGGACACAGAGUGCUGGAGCUACAGGGUCAGAAUGAGAACUGCCAGCUGCUUCUUCAGUCCAGUGAUCAAGGAAUGUGAUGAUUACAUCUAUCAACCCUGAGGGAAGGUCAGGCUACAUUAAAAGGUGUGAGAGAUCAGAUUCAGGUGGAGAAAUACCAGCUGAGGGACUCUACAGCCCAGGGACCCAUUUCAUAACAACCCAAGAACUAUCGUAACUUUGCCAUUAUGGUAACUACCAUGGCAACAUGGCCUUGCAGCCCAUCACAAUCAAGGUUACCAUGGUUGUUUCAAUAAAGGCAAUGUUGCAGUAGUUGUAGCUCUUUAUGAAAUGGGCCCCUGGAGGGUCAUCUCGAUGGACAGAGGGAUUCUAAGCAAGAGGAUCUACAGCAUCAACACGCCAUCACAGCCUGCAGGAGAUGUACAGAGGAACAAAGAUGAAUGAUGAGGAGAAUAGCCAUGAACAACAGAUGAGGAAAAAGCAGGAUAACUUUGAACACCUCCUAGUAGCUUUGGACUUAUACCACAAAGAUCUCUCUGUUAGCUGGGAGCAAGCCGAUCCAAGAUAAACCAGGAAGUCAAUGGAUUGAUCAGAGC